GGCUCUAGGCGAGAUUCGAACCCACACCCCUUGCUUACUGCGCAAUUAUGCUGCCACUUACAUUACUGGGGC
Molecule: non-coding RNA, 72 nt
Organism: Ostertagia ostertagi
Lineage: Eukaryota; Metazoa; Nematoda; Chromadorea; Rhabditida; Trichostrongylidae
Source: the annotation of a GenBank genome assembly